AAAUAAGAUCUCAUCUCUAAGUUAGAGUAAACUGUCAAGACUUAAAACUUACUUACUUUACCUUUCACCAUGGGACUUGUAACCGUUACUUCUGUCUGGAGUAGUUAAAAGAUAGAACAGUCUAGUCAAGUGCCAUGUCUCUUAUUCUUGAUCAGCCAUAGCUCUGGAGUUUUUGCAGAUUUUCAAAUAAAACUCAGAGAUUCCUUGUAUGAUUCUCUCAAAUCUCUCUUUUGUGGUAUUUCUGGAUCCUUACCAAGGCAGUGAUGGUAUAUGCCUUCUCUCAAAAUAUGUGGUAUUUGUGGUAUAAAGCAUAGUGACAUUGCCUUCUCUCUCACCCUACUCUAAUAAGGCUUUAAUAUCUGGAGCUCAUAGGUGGGAGAUAAAAUAUACAUACUCACAAGACAUUUAUUGUAUAGUCAAACCAUGGAUCCAAAGAAACAAAUCAAUAAGUCAAAUCAAGAUGCGCAUGUGUGGCGAAUGAAUGGUGUAUGGUGAUGAUGGUGAUAACAAUGGUGAAAGUCUAAUUCUACUUUGCUCUUUGAGGGGAUACAUACCUUCCUUGCUUUUAAAAAUUUUAUGAUGAGAAUGAGAUGCUCUAUAUUUUUCUUUUCUCUCAGGUGGGUAUCUUGUACACCUAAUUCUACUGUCGGACACUUGUCCAUUUUUACCUCUCGUCUCACUUUUUCUUUUCUUUCGAGGUUCCGGGCACUUGCCCCUUUUUAUUUCCUCGUAUCUUUUCUUCUUUUUUUAGAGCACUCAUCUCUUGAGAUAAUAUAGCAAGUGGUAGUAAUAAGAUAUCUUGAGCAUUUAUUUCACAAGGAAAAACAGAAAUAUUUUUGGCUAUUCUCUCCCGGAUUAGGAGUAGAAUAUUUUUUGGGUGGUUCUGGAGAUAGAAAUCGGUGGAUAUAUGUGGAUGGUACUUUCGGAGUAGAAGUAGCAUAUAUGAGUGAACGUGCAAGUGAAAUCUUGAUUUAACCACAUGACAAGCUCCUAAGGGUCUACACAGCUUGACCACACUCAAUGCUCAUAAGCAGUAAAAACUAAAUAUGUGGCUCAAAGUCUACCAAGCAUGUAUAUAUGGAUGUGGUAGGAAUUUAAAACUCUCAUCAUAUAGGAACUCAUCAUGCAACAUUUUAAAGAUUUUCAAAGAUAUAAUUCUCCAGAAUUCUAGCAUCUCUAGGAACAGAUAAACAGCAGCUCAACCUUCCCAUAUCGUAUCCGUUAACAACUUAGACUUUAGAUCAAGUCUUCAUCCCACAAGUUUAGGUCUAGAACAAGCUUUAAAUUAUAAUAGUUAUAUCUAAACUUGAGAGAGAACUUAAAAUGUGCAAAUUAGGCAGAGCAACUAUUCAUCAUAUCCAUGCUAGAGUUUUAUUAUUAAGAUACAGAUUACCAUAGCUACUUUAUUUAUUUAUUAAACACACUAAGCAAAAGGUAUAUAUAUAUAAGCCUAAAAUCUUUAUUUGGUUUUCCAUAGUUAUGUAUAUUUAAUAUAGUAAAAGUAUAAAGAUAGAUAGAAAUACUUAUCGGGAUAAAUGGGGGUGCUCUCCCCUAAGCUGAAUUUUGACGUAAUUUCUUUUGAUGUAGCUAGCAGGUGGCAGAGGUGUAUUUGAAAGUCGGCAGUAUUCUGACAGCGAUUAGAAUGUCCUCCGUCUGCUAGUCUUCUUGAUUCUUAAAUUCUGUGGAGCUCAAAUAGACAACAAAGCUUGUGGAACCGAUUAAGUGUUAGCAUAAAUAUCUAGCCUUUAUCAUGUUGAGACUCCUUAAUAAUUAUUAUUCCCUAUUUUUAUAUUUUUAUUUUAUAAAGCACAAAUGAAAUAUUUAUUUUAUUUUUUUAUGCCACCACAGUGAAUGUACUUAUGGGUGUUAUGCCACUCGUAUACUCACAUGAGGCUUACUGUUUUCACAUUUUUAUUUUCUUUUUAGGAUAGCAUGAAUAUGAUUAACUAAGUAGACUAUUUUAAAAUAAUUGAAAGGGAAAGGAUAACUACCAAGUUUACCUCUUGGCAAGGCGUUCGGUGUUUUUAAGUCCUCCGAACGGGACUCUUUAUUUUCUCAAUUGUCCUGAGGUUCGUUGGGUGGCGUAGUCGGUACUUCCGGCAGCGCCUCCUCUUCAUGUAUAGUUAUCUUCUCUUUCCAUACCUGACUCGGUGCUUCAGUCUCCUCUGGAUAAUUCUAUUUAAACUCUAUGUCUUCUGACCUUACAACUUCUCCUUCGUAGUCUGCCCAUCCGUCCUUGAUGAUUUGCCUCCUCUGAUUGCGGUUGCGUCGUUUUCUGACCUGCUUAGAUUCUUCAAAGAUGUAGUUAGGGUCAGUAAAAUAACGGCAUACCUUCUCUGAGGGGAAGUGCAUAUGGACUUCUCCAGUUCCAAUGUAGAUGAUUGCUUUAACGAUGCUGAGGAACGGACUUCCAAGGAUGAUGGGUGGAUCGUACUUGUCUUCUCCCAUGUCAAUAACCUGAAAGUCUGUGUAGACAAAAUAAUCGUCUGUUUUGACAGGGACAUCAGUUACUAUUCCAUUAACUUCUCAAAAUGUCUGAUCUGCCAUCUGGAGUUGAAUGUAUGUUGGUUUUAGGGGCAUGGUUCCGAACAAGAGUUGAUAGGUGAUUGCGGCCAUUAUGUUGACGCCCGAUCCGGUGUCGCAAGUCGUCUUGUAGAAGCUGUAUCCAUUUAUGGAGCAGUAGAUGCUUAGCAUUCCUGGGUCGUCCUUCUUGGUCAAAAACGGUGACUUAAGUUGAUGAUCUUGGCCUCUAUGAACUGCAGUGACCAUCUUAGCCGACUCAGUCCACACUUGCUUGUUCCUGUUCCUCCUGCUGGUCGUCUUCCUUGAUUCACGUCUGGAUUGAUCUGGGAUUUGUGUAGUCUUGUUCUUGAAGGAAAAUGUCUCUUUCCUCCCUUUGAUGUAGAAACUGAUCUUGGCAGCACUAGCGUAGAUGACAGCUCCCGAGGUGUUCAAGAAUGGCCUCCCUAAGAUGAUGGGUGCUCUCUCAUCAUUAUCGGUCUCUAUCACCACGAAGUCUGCUGUGGCAUACAAGGUACCAACUCUGACACAAAGGUUCUUCAAUAUUCCUUUUGGGAAAGUUAAUGCCUGAUCUGCAAACUGCAAUCACAUGGUUGUUUCUAAUAAAGGAUAUGUAAAGAAUUUUUCAUAGAGUACCCUGGGUAUAAUGUUGACACUGGAGCCAAAGUCACAGAGUGCUUCUGAGACGUCCACCAUGCCGAUGGAGAUCGGGAUGACGGGGCGUCCUGGAUCACCUCUCUUGAUCGGCAGAAGGUCAGUAGUAAAUUCAGUGACGGGGUUACUCCAAUUACCUGCAUCAAACAUGUCUACAAGAUUUGCAGAUUCUAAUCCUUCCGGUUGUGAUGGUAUACCGGGGUUAGUAGCAGGAACAGCAGCAGCUAUUUGAUUUAACUGAGAUUCAAUCAUUUUAUUAAAGCUAAUUUGAUUCUUGAGGGCAGUAGAGAAAUUAUCCAUUCUAUUAUUUAUAUUUUCUAGCAUUUUAUCAUUUGAUGCCAAUUUCUUAGACAGGUUAUCCAUUAGCUUUCCUUGAUUAGACACUAACUCUCUCAGAGGUGGAAAAUUAUUAUUAUUGUUGUAAGAACUGUUACCUUGAUAAUUACCUGAGUAGUUAGGCCUCUAUUGAUUCCAACCUUGAUUUUGUUGAGGACGGUUGUAGUAGUAGUUGUUGUUAUUGUUGAUGUAGUUCACAUCCUCAAGUAUCUCAGGGCAAUGAUUGCCUGAGUGUCCAGAUCUCCACACUCCUCACAAGUCAUGUGAGAGUCGUAGAUGUGCAUAACUUCCUUCUUAUCUCCAGCUCUAUCAUCGAGCUUCUUCAUGAGCAGGUCUAGCUCUGCAGACAGCAUGUCUACCUCCUUCAGCUGAUGCAUACCUCCACCUCUCUUGCGUGUUUGGGUCCUUUCUUCAUUCCAACUUUGGUUGGACGCCAUCUUCUCCACAAGAGCUAUGGCUUGUGAUAUGGUAAGUGAUAAGAAUGCUCCUCCAGCUGCAGCAUCCAUGGUCUCUCGGGCACUGUUCCCGAGCCCAUGAUAAAACGUCUGCAUCAAUAGCCAACUCUCCAUUCCAUGAUGGGGACAUUCUAGGAUGUAGUCUUGAAAGCGCUCCCAUGCUUAUGGAACAAAUUCAUCAUUUUGUUGCUGAAACUUGUAAUCUUCCCACAGAGAGCAUUGGUCUUGCCCAUGGGAAAGAAUUUAGCCAAGAAGUUUGUUGAGCAGAGUGCCCAUGUAGUAUUCUUCUCCUUUGUAGCGUAAAACCACUGCUUCGCUCUCCCUAACAGUGAGAAUGGGAAGAGGCGAAGUAGUAUAGCAUCUCUGGAAACUCCUGAUAUGGUAAAUGUGUUGCAUAUCUCCAGAAAGUGUUGGACAUGAGCAAUAGCAUCUUCGUGUGCCUUCCCACAGAACUGGUUGGAUUGCACCAUGUUGAUAAGUCCAGGCUUGAGCUCAAAGUUGCCAUCGAUCUCUGCAGCAGGUCCAGUGCGGAUGUUGUCCAUAGUGGGAGCUGAGAACUCACGGAUUGAUUUGUUCGCCAUGGCUUCGAACUCUGAAGACAAGUUCCGGUGAUCUUCUUGAUUGGAUGAAGCUUCUUGCUGAAAUGUUGAUGAUCUCUUCUUGAGCUUGGCUCUAGUUCUUCUGAAUAACGCUUCGGGAUUGUCAACAAAAUUUCCUGUAAGAUGUCUUCUAUUCAUACAUUCCCCUACAUAAGAUAAAAUAGAAAAAUAUCGGGGUAAAACUGUAUAAAAGAAUUGAUAAGCUCAAUCAGAUUAGUGAUGCGAAUGAUAACUCAAAAUCCUUUAUUCCAUUCCUGAUUAGUAAUCAACCUUCCCCGGCAACGGCGCCAAAAAUGCUUGUUGGGUAUUCUUAACAUCACUACCAAAAGUAGACAGUUUUCUAAUUCUAGUAACGGUGCCAAAAAUGUCAAACCUAUCCCUCAUACCACUUAAGCCAUGUUGUCAUCCCCAGCAUGACAUGAGAGACGCGGUAUUGAAAAUAUGCAAUUGCUCUUCUAAAUAAAUAAUGAAUGGGAUCUGGAAGCGCACAGAUUAAUACCGAUGUAGCAUUUUAACCGGGAAGUAUUCCAGGCAUCGUUAUUUAUAUUUUUACCACUAGGAAGGGAUUAACAAUCAUCACUAUUGACUACAGAAUAGAAUAUGAGAUUGAGUAUCUAUCAUUGCAUGUAUAAUUGAGAACAUUUAUCUAACUCUUUCGUACAGGGUAAGUGUCACAUAAAAGAUAUAUGAAAUAAUGAAUAGUGACAAAGAUAAUUAAUCUGAUCAUAACUAGCCACAUAUUAAAUAUGAUAAGCACCUCAAUUAGAUACUCUAGAAAGUCAUUAGCAUGGAAUUAGAAUGAACUACAAGAAUAUUUCCUAAGUUAUUCUCAACUAUAUAGUCAAGCAUUAUCAUAGUUAGUGCAAGCAUACUUAGCAAUCAUUUCGAGACAAGACUACGCCCAUGCAUAGUGAUAUUAGCAAGGUAAAUGAAAAACAUAGCAAUCACUCCCCUGUAAUAAUAUUGCUCUGCCAGCCCAAUACACGAGAGGGGGACUAUAUAAGAAUCAAUGAAGCUGUCACUAUCACGAACUACCCCACGAUCUGGCAUAUUGGGUACAAUCGCAGAUAAAUACGGUAUAAGCACCACGCCUACACAAUAUCUAUCAUUUACCCAUGGAUCCGAUGGACAAACGCUAUACGAUCCUAAGCAUGUAUAUAGAUGCAAUCUAACUAAGCCAAGUACAUAACUAUGAUAAACUAAGAACAAUAUAAUCUUGAAUAUAAACAAGUAGAGCAAAGUCAUAAGCAAUAUAUUGAAGUAGAAUAAAGUCAUAUUCAUAAUAUUGAAGAACAAAGAUAAUUAGAAAGCAAUUAGAAGCACAAUUAGAGAAUUACCAAGAAUCCUCUUGACAGAUCCGGAAACCAAUCGAAGAUUGACUCCUUCUAGUUCUAAUCCUAUGUAGCUAUGCUAAUCUAGAUAUCUAAUUGAUGUGGUGGCUCUAAUCUUGAUCAGAUUCUUCUUCUCCCUUGAGGAACAAUGAAUUAGGGUUGAGAGGCUCUCUCCUCUAGGGGCCAGGGGGUCUGGUUUUAUAGUCCCUUCAAGUGAAUAUGGGCCGUUGGAUCAAACCGACAUUGAUUGAACUGUUAUCCUUGAUCCUUUAGGUCGGUGGAGAUCUCCCACGAAACAGAGUCCUGAUUGGACUCCAAGUCAGGGCAGGCGCCCAGGGAAGGAGGGCGGGCGCCCUGCCUCUGGCCCCGUUCGGCCUCCGCUUUCUUCCCGUGGCUUCUGGAGUCUUCUAGAUGUAAGAUAAUUAUGCGGCACGUUAAUAUCUCUAUGUAAUCUCGACGUGUGGGCCUUUCUUCUGUAUUUCCUGAUAACCCCCUGCAGAAAUAGACAAAUACCAAAAUUCGUGGAAUUCUGUCAGAUAAAACCCUAAGUCUAGAUGUUGAUUUCAUUUGGACCCUUUUCUUUGUUUGUUUGAUAAUUAAAUUUGAUACUUAAGGACCGUCAACAACCUCGCGGCCCUAACUCGUUAGACGAGGCCUAUGGAAGGCGUUAUAGUGUUCCCUGCCCGCUCACCUUGCCAGUGUUAGUGGGUCUUGCAAACCCCGGGCAUAUGGGUAACAUGACUUACGGGAAAAGUGCACACCUCUGCGCAGAGUUUGAUCAAACUGGUAUACUAGCCGUGCUCUCGGACAUGAGUGGCCUUGGACCCUUACAGAAUAGUUAGAUGUCGAAGAUUAUGGGGGAAUGACCUAUGGAAAUAUGACGCAUUGAUCGUGAUGAUUAAUGUGGUUUAACCGUGAUGGUGAUGGUGUUAGCCGUGAAGGUUAACGGUGUUAUUAUCAUGUACUCAUUUGGGCUAAUCGGGAGCUUAAGCAUAACUUAUGAUUAAAUAGGAUUAAAACAAUGACCAAUUAAAAUACUAACUGCAGUAGCCAGUGUCUGACCUUUUUGAGCCGCAUAAAAUCCUAUGUUAUACUUGCGGAGUACGAGAUGUACUCACGCUUGUCUCUAUAUUUCUUUUUGGACAAAAUCCCGGAUGGGUAACAGAUGACAGCUUCUACGAGGAGUUUCCGGAGGACUUCUAGGUUGGCGAUCCCCCAGUCGGUCGUCCCUGUGUUGGAGCUAACAAUUUAUAGAUAGUUAUGAGUUUUAUUUCCGCUUGCCCUACGUCUAGAUGUUGAUUUCAUUUGGAUCCUUUUCUUUAUUUAUUUGAUAAUUAAAUUUUAUACUUAAGGACCGUCAACAACCUCGCAGCCCUAACUGGUUAGACGAGGCCUAUGGAAGGCUUUAUAUUGUUCCCUGCCCGCUCACCUUGGCAGUGUUAGUGGGUCUUGCAAACCCCGGGCAUAUGGGUAACAUGACUUACGGGAAAAGUGCACACCUCUCUGCAGAGUUUGAUCAAACUGGUAUACUAGCCGUGCUCUCGGACAUGAGUGGCCUUGGACCCUUACGGAAUAGUUAGAUGUCGAUGAUUAUGGGGGAAUGACCUAUGGAAAUAUGAGGCAUUGAUCGUGAUGAUUAAUGUGGUUUAACCGUGAUGGUGAUGGUGUUAGCCGUGAAGGUUAACGGUGUUAUUAUCAUGUACUCAUUUGGGCUAAUCGGGAGCUUAAGCAUAACUUAUGAUUAAAUAGGAUUAAAACAAUGACCAAUUAAAAUACUAACUGCAGUAGCCAGUGUCUGACCUUUUUGAGGCGCAUAAAAUCCUAUGUUAUACUUGCGGAGUACGAGAUGUACUCACGCUUGUCUCUAUAUUUCUUUUUGGACAAAAUCCCGGAUGGGUAACAGAUGACAGCUUCUACGAGGAGUUUCCGGAGGACUUCUAGGUUGGCGAUCCCCCAGUCGGUCGUCCCUGUGUUGGAGCUAACAAUUUAUAGAUACUUAUGAGUUUUAUUUCCGCUUGUUGCAGACUUUGAUGUUCGUGUUGUAAUAAACGCUAUGUAAGACACUUGUGAUGAUACAUUUGUAAUCUGUCGACUUGUGUGUGCGACUAUUCCUGGGGCGCACAUGAGGUUUAUUGUACUCAAAUUUAUCCUUAAAUUUGGGUGACACAUAAACUUUGUAGAUCUCAAAAAGUUAUGAAACAUUGUAGUUGAUAACUUUUUGUUUUGAAAUCAUCUUAUCAUAAAAAAACUACAUUUGAAUUUGUUAAAUUUGAAAAUUCUUUGCCGAGUGUUUUUCUUUGACACUCGGCAAAGACUGUCAAAAAAAACACCCGGCAAAGAAAAUUUCAAAUUGAAUUUUGAAGCCCUAAACGAUUUCAAAUCAAAAAGUUUUUAACUACAAAGUUGUACAACUUCUCAAGAUCUACAACAUUUAUUAUGAUCAUUUCUUUAGUUGACAAAGCCAAAACAAAUUUAUUUACAAAUUUUACAUCUCUCUCUUAUAGUAUAUGAAACUACAAGACAGAUAUAUAAGAUUUUAGAAAAAUAUUAGAAUCACCAUGUGGGAUGAACAUAUGAUAAAAUAACCAAAAUAAACUAUGUAGAUCUUGAGAUGUUAUGAAAUUUUGUAUUUGGCAACUUUUUUAUUUGAGUUCAUCUUGUCAUGCAAAACCGCGUUUUUAAUUGAAAAUAUUAAAUUUUGAUUUUUUUAAACAACCUCGGAUGGAUGAACUCUCUAAAUAAACUUUGUAGAUCUCAAAAAGUUAUGAAACUUUAUAGUUGAUAACUUUUUGUUUUGAAAUCAUCUUGUCAGCAAAAACUACAUUUGAAUUUCUUAAAUUUGAAAAUUCUUUGCCGAGUGUUUUUCUUGUGUCAAAAAUAAAACACUCGGCAAAGAAAAUUCCAAAUCGAAUUUUGAAGCCCUAAACGAAUUUAAAUUAAAAAGUUUUUAACUACAAAGUUGUAUAACUUCUCAAGAUCUACAACAUUUAUUUUGAUCUUUUCUUUAUUUGACAAAGCCAAAACAAAUUUAUUUACAAAUUUUACAUCUCUCUCUUAUAGUACAUGAAACUACAAGACAGAUAUAUAAGAUUUUAGAAAAAUAUUAGAAUCACCAUGUCGAUGAACAUAUGACAAAAUAACCAAAAUAAACUCUGUAGAUCUUGAGAUGUUAUGAAAUUUUGUAUUUGGCAACUUUUUUAUUUGAGUUCAUCUUGUCAUGCAAAACCACAUUUUUAAUUGAAAAUUUUAAAUUUUGAUUUUUUGAAACAACCUCGGAUGGAAAAACUCUCUAAAUAAACUUUAUAGAUCUCAAAAAAGUUAUGAAACUUUAUAGUUGAUAAUUUUUUGUUUUGAAAUCAUCUUGUCAUGCAAAAACUACAUUUGAAUUUCUUAAAUUUGAAAAUUCUUUGCCGAGUGUUUUUCUUUCACAAUCGACAAAGACCUUCUUUGCCGAGUGUCAAAAAAGAAACACUCGGCGAAGAAAAUGUCAAAUCAAAUUUUGAAGCCUUAAACGAAUUCAAAUCUAAAAGUUUUUAACUACAAAGUUCUAUAACUUCUCAAGAUCUACAACAUUUAUUUUGAUCAUUUCUUUAUUUGACAAAGCCAAAACAAAUUUAUUUACAAAUUUUACAUCUCUGUUAUAGUGUUUGAAACUACAAGACAUAUAGAUAUAUAAGAUUUUAGAAAAAUAUUAGAAUCACCAAGUCUGAUGAACAUAUGACAAUAUAACCAAAAUAAACUCUCUAGAUCUUGAGAUGUUAAGAAAUUUUGUAUUUGGCAACUUUUUUAUUUGAGUUUAUCUUGUAAUGCAAAACCACGUUUUUAAUUGAAAAUUUUAAAUUUUGAUUUUUUAAACAACUUCGGAUGGAAAAACUCUCUAAAUAAACUUUGUAGAUCUCAAAAAGUUAUGAAACUUUGUAGUUGAUAACUUUUUGUUUUGAAAUCAUCUUGUCAUGCAAAAACUACAUUUGAUUUUCUUAAAUUUGAAAAUUCUUUGCCGAGUGUUUUUCUUUGACACUCGGCAAAGACCUUCUUUGCCGAGUGUCAAAAAUAAAACACUCAGCAAAGAAAAUUUCAAAUCGAAUAUUUAAGCCCUAAACGAAUUCAAAUUAAAAAGUUUUUAACUACAAAGUUGUAUAACUUCUCAAGAUCUACAAUAUUUAUUUUGAUCAUUUCUUUAUUUGACAAAGCCAAAACAAAUUUAUUUACAGAUUUUACAUCUCUCUCUCUUAUAGUAUAUGAAACUACACGACAGAUAUAUAAGAUAUUAGAAAAAAUAUUAGAAUCGCCAUGUCGGAUGAACAUAUGACAAAAUAACCAAAAUAAACUCUGUAGAUCUUGAGAUGUUAUGAAAUUUUGUAUUUGGCAACUUUUUUAUUUGAGUUCAUCUUGUCAUGCAAAACCGCGUUUCUAAUUGAAAAUUUUAAAUUUUGAUUUUUUGAAACAACCUCGGAUGGAAAAACUCUCUAAAUAAACUUUGUAGAUCUCAAAAAGUUAUGAAACUCUAUAGUUGAUAACUUUUUGUUUUGAAAUCAUCUUGUCAUGCAAAAACUUCAUUUGAUUUUCUUAAAUUUGAAAAUUCUUUGCUGAGCGUUUUUCUUUGACACUCGGCAAAGACCUUCUUUGCUGAGUGUCAAAAAUAAAACACUCGGCAAAGAAAAUUUCAAAUCGAAUAUUUAAGCCCUAAACGAAUUCAAAUUAAAAAGUUUUUAACUACAAAGUUGUAUAAUUUCUCAAGAUCUACAACAUUUAUUUUGAUCAUUUUUUUAUUUGACAAAGCCAAAACAAAUUUAUUUACAAAUUUUACAUCUCUCUCUUAUAGUAUAUGAAACUACAAGACAGAUAUAUAAGAUUUUAGAAAAAUAUUAGAAUCGCCAUGUCGGAUGAACAUAUGACAAAAUAACCAAAAUAAACUCUGUAGAUCUUGAGAUGUUAUGAAAUUUUGUAUUUUGCAACUUUUUUCUUUGAGUUCAUCUUGUCAUGCAGGGCUGACUGUAGCACAAAUUGGUAUCAAAGCAGGGCUGACUGUAGGACGCAAACCUAGGUAGAAACAGUCGAUUUUAGGGUUUUUAUUUUCGCUUUAUUUAUUUCACUGCUUACUUUACCUUCUUGUUAUUUUAUUAAAAUUAUAUACUCUUACCCACUGUUCUAUUUAUGUAAAUAUAUUGAUUCUAAUUCUUAAAAUAAAAUUUAUAGAUGCCUCGUCGCAGCGCAGCCGCGUACCGUGCCCUCUUCAUCGCCGCCCGUGCUCCGCCAGUUGCACCAGCACCAACCCCAGUACCUGCACCUGUACCAGCACCAGCACCUGUACCUGAGCCCGAGGUCGUCGCCUCUGGCGGCGGCGAGGAGGAGGAGCCUAUGGACACGGGGUCCCCUACGCCUACACCUUCAGCUCCUACACCGGUGGCGGAACCGAUUCCACAGGCUGCCGCUCCUGUUCCACCUGCACCACCUGCGCCUGCACCACCUACGCCUGCACCCCAUGCGUCGACGGGUUCAGCACCGACGCCUCAGUACCCACAGGUUGUUCCGGAGAUGGGAUGGACCUCCAGGAACAAGUUCAUGGUGGCUAACGAGGACGCUCACUACCACACUCUGCUCACGAGUGUGUUGGCGAGCUACUACCCGAGUUUGCUGCCACCGUCCGCUACCUUUGCUCGGAGCACAAGCAUCCGUUAGAGAACACCUACUCGAAGGCCGAGGUGAUCAUCACAGCUCGGAACAACGUCGACAACUCGGAUGAGGUGGAGUCCAUCCACGAGAGCAGGGUUAGACGUGCUUCCGCCUACGAGAGCAUGGAGGAUGCAGCUCAGGCCGCGUACUUUCACUACCAUGGCUGCCGUUUUGAGGCCAUGCAGGAGGAUAGGUACCGGUUCCUUCCCCGCAACGACCCAGAUGGCAGGACAUGGCAUGUCCUGGCACCUCCUGCCGGUGACCCUACCCUGGAUACGACUGUGAGACACGUUAGUGUCAUUCAGGAGAUGAAUGUGGCACUGAGGCAGGAGCUGCGUGUUGCACAGCAGGCGGGGAAGCACCUCCAGCGUCAGGUGGAUGAGCUGCGUGGUCAGCUUGGACAGCCACCCAUCUACAAGAAGAAGCCCCGUAAGUUCGUUCUGAGCUCCCUAGAUUUUCCAGUACCUUCUUUAGACGCUAGCACGAGUAAUUCAGUAAUGUGUGGCAUGUGAACUUUAGUGUGUUGCUAUUUGUGUUGAUGAACAAUGAUGAUUUGGAGUUUUGUUUGAUUGUGGAAACAUGUGGGCCUGUCCGCAUGUUUCUAAACCUUAAUCUUAGAAGUACAUGUUGUUUACAUUGGAGGUUGGGUUACUUUAUCUUGUCUCAGUCAUGCUGUUUCUGGAGCAGUCUGUGAUGUUUAUUUAGUAUCUCAUUAUCGGUUCAGUCAAAAAUUACAAAAUUUUUAUGGUGAAAGCUAGACUGGUAUAUCUUUCAUCUCCAACUGGAAUCACCUCAUUAUCUGUUCGGAUCUAGGAGAUAUGUCCGUUUUAAUCUGUUGUACCUGCGCAGACUGGGAUUCAGAGCAGAACCUGAUAAACCACAAUUUUGAUUAUGUUACUGAUGCAAUCAGUAAAUGUGGUCUGAAUAAAGUUUGUAGAGAAUUUCUUAACCUUUCCAGCGAUGUAUACCAUGUUCCUAUUGGAUCUAUAGAUUCUGAGAUAAGCAUGGAUUACGGACCUGCUGAGUUUGAAACUUGUCUAGAAAACUGCUAGACUUGUUUUUAUUUAUUAUAAGCGAUGAAUAAUUAUUUUGGAAGAUCACUAAAAGCCGUGAAUCUUUGUUGGAAGCAGAUGGACGCCGAAGGAGCAGCCGCUGAUCGUGGACGUGGCCGUGGCCAUGGUCGUGGCCGUGGACGUGGUGUACCUGAGAAUCCACCACCACCACCGCCGCCGAUGGCUAUUGAGCAACUCAUGGGUAUGCAAGCUAAUCUGAUGCAAGCCAUGAUGAACCAUAUGAACAAUGAACCAGUGGCAGCACCACCGCCUGUUCAAAUCCGUGACAAGCGUGGGGAGUUCUUGAAAGGACGUCCCCCGGUGUUCACCCAUGCCUCUGAUCCACUAGAGGCAGACGACUGGUUAAAAGCAGUCGAGAAGCAGCUGAACAUAGCCCAAUGCAGCGACCUAGAGAAAGUGUUGUACGCAUCAGGCCAGCUGCAAGGACCUGCAAAGGAGUGGUGGGAGUCCUAUCAAUAUGGACGCCCGAACAACGCUCCGCCAGUCACCUGGAAGGAGUUUACGGAAGGAUUCAGGUCCCAUCAUAUUCCAGAGAGCCUGAUAGAACUGAAAGCGGAAGAGUUCCGGUCUCUCAAGCAGGGAUCGAUGUUAGUCAGCGAGUAUCAUGAUAAGUUUGCUCAACUGUCACGAUAUGCUCCAUAUGAGGUGGCCAGGGACUCUGACAAGCAGCGUCUCUUCCUAAAGGGUUUGUAUGAUGGACUGCAGCUGCAGCUGAUGAGCAACACCUACCCUUGUUUUCAAGAAUUGGUGAACCGCGCUAUUGUCAUCGACAACAAGCGCAAGGAGAUGGAUGCAAAGAAGAGAAAGCUCCAGGGGCAACCGUCGGGCAGCAACACUCGCCCACGUGCGUACCCUCAGCAGGGAUUUCCUCAGCGCAGUCAAGGACCGCCGAAUCAGUGGAAUCGUGGUCAGUUUCCACAGCGUCCUCAGUACCACCAGCAGUACAGCCACCAGAACCAACAACGCCCCCAACAGCAGUAUGGCAAUCAGAGUCAGCAGCGCCCCCAACAAUAGGUCAGCAACCAAGCACCACGCCAAGGAGCGCCCAACAAUGCUCCUGGCAAGAGUGCAGCACCCAGCGGAAAUCCCAAUGCUUGUCACCGCUGCGGAGAUGUGGGACACUAUGCAUACCAGUGCCCCAAGAAGCAGAAUCCACCGGCUCAGCAAAACCAGAACAGCAAUCAGAGGCCUGCUCGACCUUCGUUCUCUGGGAAAGUGAACCAUGUGUCCACUGACACAGCUCAGGAAGCACCUGAGGUUAUGAUGGGUACGUUCAACAUCAACUCCAUCCCCGCUACAGUACUGUUUGAUUCUGGUGCUUCACAUUCUUUUAUCUCCCAAGCUUUUGUUAGAGUGCAUAGCAUCCCACUUUGUGCUCUGAAAAAUUCCAUGCUAGUAAAUUCACCGGGAGGCACCAUGCCAGCUAAUUACUGGAGCCCCUCCACUAGUAUAUCCUUAAGGGGGGUAGAUUUUAAGGUGAAACCUAUUGUGCUAAGAAAUAGCUUAAGGAAUUGCAAGAAAAAGGGUUUAUUCAUCCUAGUUCUUCACCCUGGGGUGCACCGGUAAUCUUUGUUGAUAAGAAAGAUGGCACUAGGAGGAUGUGUGUGGAUUAUCGGUCAUUAAAUGAAGUCACUAUUAAAAACAAGUACCCACUGCCUAGAAUAGAUUACUUAUUUGACCAACUGAAAGGACCAUGUGUGUUCUCCAAAAUUGACCUCUGAUCUGACAUACCUAAGACAGCUUUUACCACAAGGUAUGGCUUGUAUGAGUAUACAGUCAUGUCAUUUGGGCUGACCAAUGCACCUGCAUACUUCAUGUAUAUGAUGAACAAGGUGUUCAUGGAGUAUUUGGAUAAGUUCAUGGUAGUAUUCAUUGAUGAUAUAUUAAUCUUCUCCAAAACCAAAGAAGAACAUGCUGAACACUAGAGACUGGUCUUGCAAAAGCUUAGAGAGAAUAAAUUGUAUGUCAAGAAAAGCAAGUGUGAGUUUUGGUUGGAUGAGGUCUCAUUUUUGGGACAUGUGGUCUCUGACGGUGGAAUAGCCGUAGACCCCAGCAAAGUGCUGGAUGUGGUAAAUUGGAAGCCUCCAACCAAUGCUAGUGAGAUCCGUAGCUUUUUGGGACUAGCUGGUUAUUAUAGGAGAUUUAUUGAAGGUUUCUCCAAGUUAGCAAAGCGCAUGACAGCCCUACUAGAGAAGAGUGCCAAAUUUAUUUGGUCAGAUAAGUGCCAAGAAAAUUUUGAGGAGCUAAAGAAAAGGUUGACCACAGCCCCAGUGUUGACCUUACCAGAUCUGAGCAAAACCUUCUCUAUUUAUUGCGAUGCAUCUCGCCUAGGCCUUGGAUGUGUGCUUAUGCAAGAAGGAAGAGUAGUGGCCUAUGCAUCCAGGCAGUUGAGAAAACAUGAGCUGAACUAUCCUACUCAUGAUUUGGAGCUAGCUGUUGUGGUUCAUGCUCUAAAGAUUUGGAGGCAUUAUCUAAUUGGGCACAAUUGUGAUAUUUAUACGGAUCACAAAAGUUUGAAGUAUAUUUUCACACAGUCGGACCUGAACCUAAGGCAAUGCCGUUGGCUAGAAUUAAUAAAGGAUUAUGAUCUGGAAGUGCAUUACCAUCCCGGGAAGGCAAACGUUGUUGCCGAUGCACUUAGUCGAAAGAGCUAUGCCAAUGGGCUGCAAUUGACCUUCAUUCCCACAGAGUUGUUAGCUGAAAUAGAGCAUCUCAAUUUGGGUUUAGUGAACAACAUUGUUGAAUUGGAGUUAGAGCCCACCCUAUAGCAAGAAAUCCGCAAAGGUCAGUCGGAGGAUGAGAAAUUAAAAGAAAUUUCAGAGAAUGUAGUGCUUGGAGAAGCACCAGGUUUCAGGUUGGAUGAGAAUGGUACACUAUGGUUUGGGAAGAGAAUAUGUGUGCCCGAAGUGAAAUACAUCCGAGAUGCAAUCCUGCGUGAAGCACAUGACUCUGCAUAUUCAAUUCACCCCGGAAGCACCAAGAUGUAUCUAGAUCUUAAAGAAAAAUAUUGGUGGUAUGGAUUAAAGAGAGAUGUGGAAGAGUAUGUAGCGUUAUGUGAUACUUGUCAGAGGGUGAAAGCCGAGCACCAAAGACCUACAGGGUUGUUGCAACCAAUGCAAGUACCUGAAUGGAAAUGGGAAGAAGUAGGUAUGGAUUUCAUCACUGGAUUGCCCCGCACUCAGCGUGGGUAUGAUUCAAUUUGGGUAAUAGUGGAUCGACUCACUAAAGUUGCUCACUUUUUGCCCGUUAAUACCAACUAUGAUGGAGCAAAGUUGGCAAAAUUAUAUAUGGAUAGAAUCAUGAGUCUGCACGGAGUUUCGAAGAAGAUUGUGUCUGAUCGGGGUACACAGUUCACAUCACAGUUUUGGCAUAAAGUAAAUGAAUCGUUGGGAACAAAGUUGAACUUUAGUUCCGCGUAUCAUCCCCAAACCGAUGGGCAGACUGAAAGAGUAAAUCUGAUUUUAGAAGACAUGUUGAGAGCAUGUGCGUUACAGUAUGGUACCGGUUGGGACACUAGUUUACCAUAUGCUGAAUUUUCAUAUAAUAAUAGUUACCAGAGAAGUCUCGAUAUGUCACCGUUUGAAGCAUUGUAUGGGCGGAAAUGUAGAAUGUUGGGUAUUCUUAACAUCAUUACCAAAAGUAGACUAAGUUCUCUAAAUCUAGUAACGGUGCCAAAAAUGCCAAACCUAUCCCACACACCACUUAAGCCAAGUUGUCAUCCCCAGCAUGACAUAAGAGACGCGGUAUUGAAAUAUGCAAUUGCUCUUCUAAAUAAAUAAUGAAUGGGAUCUGCAAGCGCACAGACUAAUACCGAUGUAGCAUUUUAACCGGGAAGUAUUCCAGGUAUCGUUAUUUAUAUUUUUACCACUGGGAAGGGAUUAACAAUCAUCAAUAUUGAUUACAGAAUAGAAUAUAAGAUUGAGCAUCUAUCAUUGCAUGUAUAAUUGAGAACAUUAUAUCUAACUCUUCAUACAGGGAUAAGUGUCACAUAAAAGAUAUAUGAAAUAAUGAUAGUGACAAGGAUAACUAGUCUGAUCUAGCCACAUAAUAAAUAUGAUAAGCACCUCAAUUAGAUACUCUAGAAAGUCAUUAGCAUUGUAUUAGAACGAACUACAAGAAUAUUCCCUAAGUUAUUCUUAACUAUAUAGUCUAGCAUUAUCAUAAUUAGUGCAAGCAUACUUAGCAAUCAUUGCGAGACAAGACUACGCCCAUGCAAAGUGAUUUUAGCAAGGAAUAUGAGAAACAUAGCAAUCACUCCCCUGUAAUAAUAUUGCUCUGCCAGCCCAAUACACGAGAGGGGGACUAUAUAAGAAUCAAUGAAGCUGUCACUAUCAUGAACCACCCCACGAUCUGGCAUAUUGGGUACAAUCGCAGAUAAAUACGGUAUAAGCACCACGCCUACACAAUAUCUAUCAUUUACCCAUGGAUCCGAUGGAUAAACGCUAUACGAUCCUAAGAAUGUAUAUAGAUCCAAUCUAACUAAGCCAAGUACAUAACUAUGAUAAACUAAGAACAAUAUAAUCUUGAAUAUAAGCAAGUAAAGCAAAGUCAUAAGCAAUAUAUUGAAGUAGAACAAAGUCAUAUUCAUAAUAUUGAAGAACAAAGAUAAUUAGAAAGCAAUUAGAAGCACAAUUAGAAAUUUACCAAGAAUCCUCCUGACAGAUCCGGAAACCAAUCGAAGAUUGACUCCUUCUAGUUCUAAUCCUAUGUAGCUAUACUAAUCUAGAUAUCUAAUUGAUGUGGUGGCUCUAAUCUUGAUCAGAGGCUUCUUCUCCCUUGAGGAAUAAUGAAUUAGGGUUGAGAGGCUCUCUCCUCCAGGGGCCAGGGGGUCUGGUUUUAUAGUCCCUUCAAGUGAAUAUGAGCCAUUGGAUCAAACCGACAUAGAUUGUAUGGUUUAGAUUCAUCCUUUAGGUCGGUGGAGAUCUCCGACGAAGCAGAGUCCUAAUUGGACUCCCUGAGGGGGCGGGCGCCCAGGGCAGGAGGGCGGGCGCCCUGCCUGUGGCCCCAUUUCGCCUCUGCUUCGGUCUCGUGGCUUCUGGAGUCUUCUAGAUGUAAGAUAAUUGCGCGGCAUGUUAAUAUCUCUAUGUAAUCCCGACGUGUGGGCCUUUCUUCCAUAUUUCCUGAUAACCCCCUGCAGAAAUAGACAAACACCAAAACUCGUGGAAUUCUAUCAGAUAAAACCCUAAGUCUAGAUGUUGAUUUCAUUUGGAUCCUUUUCUUUAUUUAUUUGAUAAUUAAAUUUGAUUCUUAAGGACCGUCAACAAACUCCCCCAAGCUUACCUCUUGCUCGUCCCUGAGCAAGGAUAGACUCAGCUAUGGAUUAUAAGUUGUUGCAAUAUUUUUAAAAUUUGACGGUACACAUGCUUUUUAAAUAAGAUCUCAUCUCUGAGUUAGAGUAAACUGUCAAGACUUAAAACUUACUUACUUUACCCUCACCAUGUGACUUGUAACCGUCACUUCUAUCUUGAGUAGUUAAAAGAUAGAACAGUCUAGCCAAGUGUCAUGUCUCUUAUUCUCGAUCAGCUAUAGCUCUGGGUUUUUUGCAGAUUUUCAAAUAAAACUCAGAGAUUCCUUGUAUGAUUCUCUAAAUCUCUCUUUUGUGGUAUUUCUGGAUCCUUACCAAGGCAGUGAUGGUAUAUGCCUUCUCUCAAUAUAUGUAGUAUUUAUGGUAUACAGCAUAAUAACAUUGCCUUCUCUCUCACCCUACUCUAAUAAGGCUUUAAUAUCUGGAGCUCAUAGGUGGGAGAUAAAGUAUACAUACUUACAAGACAUUUAUUGCAUAGUCAAACCAUGGAUCCAAAGAAACAAAUCAAUAAGUUUAAUCAAGAUGUGCAUGUGUGGCGAAUGAAUGGUGUAUGGUGAUAAUGGUGAUAACAAUGGUGAAAACAAUGGUGUUGGAAGUCUAAUUCUACUUUGCUCUUUGAGGGGAUACAUACCUUCCUUGCUUUUUGAAACUUUAUGAGGAGAAUGAGAUGCUCUUCUUUUUCUUUUCUCUCAGGUGGGUAUCUUGUACCCCUAAUUCUACUGUCGGACACUUGUCCAUUUUUACCUCUCGUCUCAAUUUUUCUUUUCUUUCGAGGUUCCGAGCACUUGCUCCUUUUUAUUUCCUCGUAUUUAUUUUUCUCUUCUUUUUUUUAGAGCACUCAUCUCUUGAGAUAAUAUAGCAAGUGGUAGUAACAAGAUAACUUGAGCAUUUAUUUCACAAGGGAAAACAGAAAUAUUUUUGGUUAUUCUCUCCCGGAUCAGGAGUAGAAUAUUUUUGGGUGAUUCUGGAGAUGGAAAUGGAUGGAUAUAUGUGGAUGGUACUUCCGGAGUAGAAAUAACAUAUAUGAGUGAACGUGCAAGUGAAAUCUUGAUUUAACCACAUGACAAGCUCCUAAGGGUCCACACAGCUUGACCACACUCAAUGCUCAUAAGCAGUAAAUAGUAAAUGUGUGGCUCAAAGUCUAGCAAGCAUGUAUAUAUGGCUGUGGUAGGAAUUUAAACUCUCAUCAUACAGGAACUCAUCAUGCAACAUUUUUAAUGAUUUUCAAAGAUAAAAUUCUCCAGAAUUCUAGCAUCUCUAGGAACAGAUAAACAGCAGCUCAACCUUCCCAUAUCGUAUCCGUUAACAACUUAGACUUUAGAUCAAGUUUUCAUCCCACAAGUUUAGGUCUAGAGCAAGCUUUAAAUUAUAACAGUUAUGUCUAAACUUGAGAGAGAACUUAAAAUUUGCAAAUUAGGCAGAGCAACUAUUCAUCAUAUCCAUGCUUAAGUUUUAUUAUUAAGAUACAGAUUAGCAUAGCC
Molecule: long non-coding RNA, 19427 nt
Filed under: Sorghum bicolor (sorghum)
Lineage: Eukaryota; Viridiplantae; Streptophyta; Magnoliopsida; Poales; Poaceae
Description: long non-coding RNA (SBIC_LNC010221)
Rfam family: Plant small nucleolar RNA R71 (bases 4078-4183)
Source: RNAcentral